This 484-nucleotide ribosomal RNA is filed under the name Charidotis vitreata. RNAcentral describes it as "partial 12S small subunit ribosomal RNA". Lineage: Eukaryota; Metazoa; Arthropoda; Insecta; Coleoptera; Chrysomelidae. The record is from RNAcentral.
UCUAAUAAUGCAAAUGAAAUUUUUUGGUUUGGAUUAAAUUGUUUUUUUUUAUUUUAUAAUAUUUUAAGGUGAAAUUUAAAUUUUAUAAUUUUUUAAUUUUUAUUGAGGUCUAUAAAUUGAUGAAUAAACUAGGAUUAGAUACCCUACUAUAAAAACUUAAUUUUAUUCCUUAUUAUUAAUAGUUAUGUUCUUUAAAGUAAAAAAAAUUGGCGGUAUCUUAAUCUUUUUAGAGGAACCUGUUCAGUGAUUGAUACUCCACGAUUAAAUUUACUAAUUUUAUGUUUAUAUAUCGUUGUUAAAAUUAUUCUUUUAGGAUAUAAUUGUAAUUUAAAUUUUAAUUUAGUUCAGAUCAAGGUGUAGCUUAUAAAUUAGUUGAAAUGGGUUACUAUAAUUUUAAUUUUUGAUUUUUAUUUUUAAUAAUUUAAUGAAUACGGAUUUAAUUGUAAAUUUUAAUAUAUAUUAAAAUUUAUUUUAGCUCUAGGAU